Molecule: unclassified non-coding RNA, 812 nt
Filed under: Hevea brasiliensis (rubber tree)
Lineage: Eukaryota; Viridiplantae; Streptophyta; Magnoliopsida; Malpighiales; Euphorbiaceae
Source: RNAcentral
AGGCUUUUUCUUUGCAUUCUUGAUUGACGGACAACUGCCCCCACAAAAUCCUUACCAUGGUAUCUUCCAUAUCUUUAACUCUGAAACAGUGUCAGAUACAUAUAAGACAACGGGGGAAAGGAGAGAACUUUGCUCUAUGUGUAUCCACACACAUACUAUAUCUUUGCAGAAUAUAUCUUUGCAGAAUUGCAGUGCCCUUUGGAUGGCAGGAUAUCUUUAGAAUGUCAGACAAGAAAUAGCUGCUGCUUAUAUAGGCAUUGUAUAGGCCUGUGAACUGUGCUUUAAGAGGGAGAAGGGAGAGACCUUUUUAGCAUCUGGGUAUUUAUUGCAAAGUCUUAAAAGGUGUCACCUCUAUUGGUUCUGUGUCUGUUUGAAAGGACUGAAACUGGCUUAGAUGGGCUUUUUUGGCUGUUAUUUCUUAAUAGUACUCUGGAGGAAUUCACGGCUAUGACAGCUUUAAUUUAUCAUUUGCUUCUCUUGGGCAUUGAAUCUUUUCCUUGCUAUAGGGAUUUAAUACAUAAGCUGAGGUUGUUGGUAAACAUCAAGCUCUUUUUAUGAUCAUUGCUACAAUCUGCAUUACGAUUUUAAUAGUUGCCUUUUGGUUUGUUCAAUAAAUUUUACUCAACUUAUUCCUAUUUGGGUUUGUCACUAUCUGUUUGAUAUUUAGCCUUUCUUCGGACUUUCGUUUAUUCCUGAAAUAAAAGUCUUUUUAAGUUGUAUUAUUGGCAUUGUCUCUGAUAAGGCCCCGCAGUUUUCAUGUCUUGCUUUUUCCAUGCAGUUAGUUCUAUCUGCAGCUCUUUUAUCGUUUGCUG